UACGGAGGGUGGAAGCGUUAUCCGGAAUUACUGGGUUUAAAGGGUGCGUAGGCGGCUUGAUAAGUCAGGGGUGAAAACCUAUCGCUUAACGAUAGAAUUGCCUUUGAUACUGUAAAGCUUGAAAGGGGUUGAGGUCAGCAGAAUGUGGCAUGUAGCGGUGAAAUGCAUAGAUAUGCCAUAGAACACCGAUUGCGAAGGCAGCUAGCUGGGCCUACUUUGACGCUGAGGCACGAAAGCGUGGGGAGCGAACAGG
RNAcentral lists this ribosomal RNA (253 nucleotides) under uncultured bacterium. Its description in RNAcentral is "partial 16S ribosomal RNA". It matches the Rfam family "Bacterial small subunit ribosomal RNA", at positions 524 to 776 of the family's 1533-position model. The record is from RNAcentral.